This 404-nucleotide ribosomal RNA is filed under the name Fusobacteriota bacterium. Its description in RNAcentral is "Fusobacteria bacterium partial 16S ribosomal RNA". It matches the Rfam family "Bacterial small subunit ribosomal RNA", at positions 355 to 776 of the family's 1533-position model. The record is from RNAcentral. Lineage: Bacteria; Fusobacteriati; Fusobacteriota.
UGGGGAAUAUUGCACAAUGAAGGGAACUCUGAUGCAGCGACGCCGCGUGAGUGAUGAAGGAAUUCGUUUCGUAAAACUCUGUUCUAUGGGAAGAAAAGGACUGUACCAUAGGAGAAAGCUCCGGCUAAAUACGUGCCAGCAGCCGCGGUAAUACGUAUGGAGCGAGCGUUGUCCGGAAUUAUUGGGCGUAAAGGGUGCGCAGGCGGCUUUACAAGUUGGAUGUGAAAUAUUGUGGCUCAACCACAAACGUGCAUCCAAAACUGCAAAGCUUGAGUUAAGGAGAGGUAAGUGGAAUUCCUGGUGUAGCGGUGGAAUGCGUAGAUAUCAGGAGGAAUACCGGUGGCGAAGGCGACUUACUGGACUUAAACUGACGCUCAGGCACGAAAGCGUGGGGAGCAAACAGG